Molecule: non-coding RNA, 318 nt
Organism: Pelobates cultripes (western spadefoot toad)
Lineage: Eukaryota; Metazoa; Chordata; Amphibia; Anura; Pelobatidae
Source: the annotation of a GenBank genome assembly
GGGGGCUACUAAUAUGGGUGGGGGUAGGUAGAAAAAUUAUUGGAAGGGGUUAGAGGAGUACUAAUAUGAAUGGAAGAGGUAGGUGGGGUUCUUUUGUGCAUGGAAGGGGUAGGGGUGGUUCUAAUAUUCAUGUAAAGGAUAGGUGGGGUUCUAAUAUAAAUGGAAGGGGUAGAGACGGGUAGUAAAAUGUAAGGAAUGCUUUUCUGACAGUGUCACUGAAUGACAGGAAAUGUGGUCACACUAAGACAGGGGCAGCAUUACACAAUCUGUGUAUGUAUAAAAAAAAAAAUAUAUAAAAAGUAAUCUGCAAAGUACAAA